This 102-nucleotide microRNA precursor is filed under the name Trichophyton rubrum BMU01672. Lineage: Eukaryota; Fungi; Ascomycota; Eurotiomycetes; Onygenales; Arthrodermataceae. The record is from RNAcentral.
UGGGAGGGAGAGAGAGAGACCUGGCGAGCUUCGACCUCCAGCUUCUUCGUCUUCUAUAUCCAUCCAUCCAUCGCCCGUCUCUCUUCCCUGGCCGUCACUGCA